Molecule: ribosomal RNA, 363 nt
Filed under: Triticum aestivum (bread wheat)
Lineage: Eukaryota; Viridiplantae; Streptophyta; Magnoliopsida; Poales; Poaceae
Description: partial small subunit ribosomal RNA
Source: RNAcentral
AUGAGAUCGCUUCGCCGGCGCCCUGCGUCGGCUUUGCCCCUCAGUCGUACAGCCCGUCGUGCAGCCCCUCAGCCGCUCUUCCCUUUGCCCCGGCGUGAAGAACAACGAUCUGUCGAUCUAGUUGGUGUGGCUGUGACAGGAGAGAAUACGAGGGGCUCCUUGCAGCUGGGCUCUACUUGCCUCUACCAAACUAUUUUCUUUUCUUUACUCAUGUUCGCUAUGCUCUCUCAAUCAGACCGAAACAUUACCAUUGGCGUCAAUGUUCCCGUCAGUAAGUUCAAUCAGAUUUGGAUUUUAUUCAGAGCAGUUUUGAUCUAUAUUUCCAAGAGCAGUUUUGAUCUAUAUUUCCAAGAGCAGUUUUGA